Molecule: long non-coding RNA, 969 nt
Organism: Fundulus heteroclitus (mummichog)
Lineage: Eukaryota; Metazoa; Chordata; Actinopteri; Cyprinodontiformes; Fundulidae
Exons: 2
Source: RefSeq, a predicted model, not a curated record
CAGGCUGGAAGAGAAAAGAAAUGCACUGUGACGUUCAGAGUUGCCACAAACUGGCAUUUUAACUUUUUUCAUUUAUCAAGGACAUUUAAAGAAAAAGGUCUGUUGUAAAGCUACAAAGAAAUCCUUCUGGAAGUCGUCCAGAAGUACUUAGGGAACCGAUGGAGAGCACCUCACCUGUUUUGAUGUUAACUUAAUCAGUGACCCUUCAUAACCCUGCAGGGGAAAAAAGAUAGCCAAUUAUCCACCCUGAAGUCACAUGAAGGAGGUCAGGCAUAAAAAAAUCUCACUACAUUGAGCCAAAUCUGCCUGUGGGCACCAUCAGACCCAUCCAUCAUGGAACUGCAAUUCACAUUUGUAAUGAUAAAAACACCACAACUUCUAAAAAAGGAUAUUAAGCUUGCUUGGGCAAAAUUAAAAAUUGAAUCCCUGCCAGUAUAUACAGCAUUUGAAGCAUUGCGUCUCCUUCAGUUUUACAUUUUUAACACCAGUUAUGCUGGUUAAAGCAGGAGCAACAAGGUAAAGAGGAUUUUCUUCCUUUAAGAACUUAAUGAGAACGUUUGCCACCGAUUCAGAUUUACAACCAUGGAAAAUUUAAACAACUUUUCAAUGCAAUCUGUGGCAAGAAUCCAAAACUGAAGUUGCUUCAAUAAAUCAGCAGGGUCAAGUUGUUUUUCUUUCCCUGAAAGACCCGAUUGAAGCAAGUUGCGCACACCGAGCCGUGUUUGCCUUGUGUUGAAAUAAAACUUGUUAAAACUCCAGUGGUUGUGCAAAUGUUUGGAGUGCAUAUCAAAAUUUUCCUGCUUGUGUGUGAGCUGGGUCACAGAGAGAAUCGCUUGGUCAAUCGCGAGAGCUACUCAUUUACACAUUCCACAGGACCAUCCAUGUGCGAGGGACACCACUUUCAAUUUGGUUCGUUAGGACAACGGUGGGGAGGGGCUGUUUAUGAAACUCUGGGCCGAGCGGAAAAAA